UACAGAGGUCUCAAGCGUUGUUCGGAUUCAUUGGGCGUAAAGGGUGUGUAGGUGGCGCCGUAAGUCGGGUGUGAAAUUUCGGAGCUUAACUCCGAAACUGCAUUCGAUACUGCGGUGCUUGAGGACUGGAGAGGAGACUGGAAUUCAUGGUGUAGCAGUGAAAUGCGUAGAUAUCUGGAGGAACACCGGUGGCGAAGGCGGCAUCCUGGACCAAUUCUGACGCUGAGGAGCGAAAGCCAGGGGAGCAAACGGG
This 253-nucleotide ribosomal RNA is filed under the name uncultured bacterium. RNAcentral's name for it is "partial 16S ribosomal RNA". It matches the Rfam family "Bacterial small subunit ribosomal RNA", at positions 524 to 776 of the family's 1533-position model. The record is from RNAcentral.